This 231-nucleotide unclassified non-coding RNA is filed under the name Hevea brasiliensis (rubber tree). The record is from RNAcentral. Lineage: Eukaryota; Viridiplantae; Streptophyta; Magnoliopsida; Malpighiales; Euphorbiaceae.
GGGCUGCUGUGGAAAGAGCAACUGCUGAAGCUCGACAAAGAGCACUAAAUGAGGCCUGCAAAAGAUUAGAGAAGGUAUGUGCAGAGGCUAGGGAAAAGUCCUUACCUGAUAAGGCACCUACGGAGGCCAGGCUCAGGGCAGAACGUGCUGCAGUAGAGAGAGCAACUGCAGAGGCCCGAGAGAGUGCUUUUGAAAAAGCAAUGGCUGAAAGGGCUUCUUCUGAGGCGGGAG